UUUCUCGCAUCGAUGAAGAACGCAGCGAAAUGCGAUAAGUAGUGUGAAUUGCAGAAUUCAGUGAAUCAUCGAAUCUUUGAACGCACAUUGCGCCCCUUGGUAUUCCAUGGGGCAUGCCUGUUCGAGCGUCAUUUGUACCCUCAAGCUCUGCUUGGUGUUGGGUGUUUGUCCACUAUCGUGGACUCGCCUUAAAGUCAUUGGCAGCCAGUGUUUUGGUAUUGAAGCGCAGCACAUUUUGCGCCUCUAGCCUAGAACACUAGCGUCCAGUAAGCCUUUUUCCACUUUUGACCUCGGAUCAGGUAGGGAUACCCGCUGAACUUAAGCAUAUCAAUAAGCGGAGGA
RNAcentral lists this ribosomal RNA (342 nucleotides) under Anoplophora chinensis. RNAcentral's name for it is "eukaryotic LSU rRNA". The stretch from base 2 to 131 matches the Rfam family "5.8S ribosomal RNA", at positions 25 to 154 of the family's 154-position model. The record is from RNAcentral. RNAcentral also lists the same sequence under 1 other name. Lineage: Eukaryota; Metazoa; Arthropoda; Insecta; Coleoptera; Cerambycidae.